CUCCCACCCAAUGUGUACCUACCUCUGUUGCUUUGGCGGGCCGCGGUCCUCCGCACCGGCGCCCUUCGGGGGGCUGGCCAGCGCCCGCCAGAGGACCAUAAAACUCCAGUCAGUGAACUUUGCAGUCUGAGAAACAAGUUAAUAAACUAAAACUUUCAACAACGGAUCUCUUGGUUCUGGCAUCGAUGAAGAACGCAGCGAAAUGCGAUAAGUAAUGUGAAUUGCAGAAUUCAGUGAAUCAUCGAAUCUUUGAACGCACAUUGCGCCCCUUGGUAUUCCGAGGGGCAUGCCUGUUCGAGCGUCAUUUCAACCCUCAAGCUCUGCUUGGUAUUGGGCUCCGUCCUCCACGGACGCGCCUUAAAGACCUCGGCGGUGGCGUCUUGCCUCAAGCGUAGUAGAAAACACCUCGCUUUGGAGCGCACGGCGUCGCCCGCCGGACGAACCUUUGAAUUAUUUCUCAAGGUUGACCUCGGAUCAGGUAGGGAUACCCGCUGAACUUAAGCAUAUCAAUAAGCGGAGG
This 520-nucleotide ribosomal RNA is filed under the name Botryosphaeria sp. Gr209. RNAcentral describes it as "eukaryotic LSU rRNA". The stretch from base 151 to 304 matches the Rfam family "5.8S ribosomal RNA". The record is from RNAcentral. Lineage: Eukaryota; Fungi; Ascomycota; Dothideomycetes; Botryosphaeriales; Botryosphaeriaceae.